Molecule: long non-coding RNA, 1806 nt
Organism: Homo sapiens (human)
Lineage: Eukaryota; Metazoa; Chordata; Mammalia; Primates; Hominidae
Gene: FAM157C
Product: family with sequence similarity 157 member C
Source: Ensembl
ACAAGAACUGGCGGCGGCAGCAGCAGCAGCAGCAGCAGCAGCAGCAGCAGCAGCAGCAGCAGCAACUGGAUUUGCUUUUUCACCAGAGGAUCCAGAUUUCCCUGUGGCCUCGCAAACAAAAAAGAAGGAAGACGGAGCAGCACAGUCAUUCCUUUGUGAAAAAGGCAUUCAGAGACGGGGUUUCACCGUGUUAGCCAGGAUGGUCUCGAUCUCCUGACCUCGCGAUCCGCCCGCCUCGGCCUCCCAAAGUGCUGGGAUUACAGGCGUGAGCCACCGCGCCCGGCUUCAGCUGGUUUUUCAAAAGUCAUGGCGUGUAACUGUCCGAACAGUGAACUUCGGAGAUCCACCGGAGGGGCGAGGCCACAGCUCGACCGCGAGCACCUGAGCAUCCUGCACCGCCUGCGACGGCCGUCAGGGGGCGCGAUGCCGCCUCACAGAACCUCAAGAGGCGCCCGGGUUCCGGCACAGACGGCCUGCGGCUCCAGGGGGCGGAACCGAGCCGUCUCCUCAGGACCUACGCAGGAGGCGCCGUCAUCCCUACAGGGACACCUGAGAGGGCCCAGCCUCCUCCUCCUCAGGACCUACUCGGGAGACGCCGCUGGCUCUCUAGGAACACCUGGGGACCGUGGCCAGGGACGACCCAGCCUCCUUCUCCUCAGCUCCUCAGGAACGACUGGGGAAGCUGUGGCUUCAUGGUCCCCGAGGCUGCCCGAGGAAAGGUAUUUCAGGACAGCCAGGAGGGGGCGCACAUCCGCCGCGAAACUGUGAGCAAGAGCGUCUGUGCUGAACCAUGGCGCCACCAGAGGGCGCGCGAUCCCGCCCCAACCAACUUCCCGCUGAAGUGCCAGAAGCAGCGAGGAGCUUCAACUUCCUCAGGGCAGCACGGGGGUCGUGUUAAUUUGGUGUUCUUCAUUGAUGAUGAUUAUUCCCCACCUUCUAAGAGACAAAGACCAACGAGCCACCACAGCCACCAGUCCCAGAACCUGCCAAUGCUGGGGAACGGAAAAUGAGGGAGUUCAACUCUGGCCCUCACAAUCCAGUGGAGGAGACGAAACUCAUCUGCCUCUGUCCCUCUGGGCACGCCUCAUGCCAGGUGCAUCUGUGGACAGGGGCCAUGCUCCUGGGCUUCCAAAGUUGGAGAAAGCUGCCAGGCUCAGGUCUGAAGGCCAGAAUUCUACAGUAAGUCCUACUGAGUCAAGGUGGGAGCAGGGUCGGUAGCUUCCGAGGCUCUGCGGGAGAAUCCGUUUCCUGGCCGUAGAGGUGGCCUGCACUCCGCAGCUUGUGCUGCCCGUCUCGAAUGACUGGAGUUUCCUGCUUCUGUCACUACACCUCCCACCCUCUCCAUCACCUGCUCUGCUCUUACAAGGAUCCGAAGAAAUGGAAUCAUCGUAUCGCUGAUCUACGUAAACAAACUGAAGAAUUGUCUGAAAGAAAAUAUGACAUGAACUUAUGAAUUCAACAGGUGAAGAUUUACAACUUGAUAAAUCAACUUUGUCAGCUCGAGCUGUAAAAGCCAAAGGUCCGGUGAUGAUCCCAUACCCUUUUUUCCAGUCUCAUGUUGAAGAUUUUUAUGUAGAAGGCCUUCCCAAAGGAAUUUUUUUUUUUUUUUUUUUUUUUUGAGAUGGAGUUUUCACUCUUAUCGCCCAGGCUGGGGUGCAAUGGCGCAACCUUGCUGGUCACUGCAACCUCUGCCUCCUGGGUUCAAGAAAUUCUCCUGCCUUAGCCUCCCAAGUCACUGGGAUUACAGGUGCCCACCACCAUACCAGGCUAAUUUUUGUAUUUUUAGUGGAGAUGCGGUUUCACCAU